This 376-nucleotide ribosomal RNA is filed under the name uncultured bacterium. RNAcentral's name for it is "bacterial SSU rRNA". It matches the Rfam family "Bacterial small subunit ribosomal RNA", at positions 524 to 898 of the family's 1533-position model. The record is from RNAcentral.
UACGUAGGGGGCGAGCGUUGUCCGGAAUGAUUGGGCGUAAAGGGCGCGUAGGCGGCCUGCUAAGUCUGGAGUGAAAGUCCUGCUUUCAAGGUGGGAAGUGCUUUGGAUACUGGUGGGCUGGAGUGCAGGAGAGGAAAGCGGAAUUACCGGUGUAGCGGUGAAAUGCGUAGAGAUCGGUAGGAACACCAGUGGCGAAGGCGGCUUUCUGGACUGAAACUGACGCUGAGGCGCGAAAGCGUGGGGAGCAGACAGGAUUAGAUACCCUGGUAGUCCACGCGGUAAACGAUGGAUGCUAGGUGUAGGAGGUAUCGACCCCUUCUGUGCCGCAGUAAACACAAUAAGCAUUCCGCCUGGGGAGUACGGCCGCAAGGUUGAA